CGACCUUGUGGUCCUAGAGCACUGGCUGGUUGGUCCCUUUCAAGGCCUUGGAGGAAUCAGAGUGGCUAAAGUUUACUUUGCAUGAGUUGCUGGGUAAUGAGUAUUGCCAGAAGCUACCAAUGUUGAAAUCAUCAAGAUUGCUGCUCUAUCCUACAACAAGUGUUUGCUGGAAAAACAGACUGACUUGGGUGAGAUUUUGUUAAGAUGGCCAUAGACUUGGAAUCUAUUUUUCCUACCUGGAAAGCUUUCAUAUUUAGCAUCAAACAAUUUAUCAGAGAGCUCUAGAAGGACCACCUCACAGUUGAUGUUCAUGACACAAACGAACACUGCCAUUGUUGAGAGAGGUGUUGAGAGAUCUAGAGGUUGAGGUGGAUGGGGAGAACCAAGAGAUGUUGAGAGAUCUAGAAGGACCUCCUCCGCCAUUGUUGAAGACUCAGUCGCCGGGAUGCGGCUAAGGCUAGGCAGUUGACCACCUCCUUUUCUUUGUUAUUUUUUAAAAAAAAAAUAUUUACAUCCUUUGUUUAUGGACCGAAAUGCCCCUCAACAAUUAACCGCAGUUGCUCUAUUUUGACAGAAA
Molecule: non-coding RNA, 577 nt
Organism: Prunus avium (sweet cherry)
Lineage: Eukaryota; Viridiplantae; Streptophyta; Magnoliopsida; Rosales; Rosaceae
Source: RefSeq, a predicted model, not a curated record